This is a non-coding RNA of Pelodiscus sinensis (Chinese soft-shelled turtle), 1569 nucleotides long. The record is from RefSeq and is a predicted model, not a curated record. Lineage: Eukaryota; Metazoa; Chordata; Testudines; Trionychidae.
UCCCUAUCUUGUACGUAACCCGGGGACUGCCUGUAUUCACUUAAAACAAAAAAUACACAUGAGGAUUUAUUUGAUGUACAGUCAAUGUCCAGCAAGGACCUGACUUCUUCUUGCAACUUUAAUUUACCUCUGGCGCAGAAUUCAUGUUCCCUACAGAUUUUUUCCUCAGCAGAAUUAUACCUGCUUCUUGAGAGGCACUGCAAUUACACCUUUCACCCGCCUGGGGCUGCUGUGGCACCAGAAGAGUGGACCGCCAACUCAUGAGUCAGAGCAGCCAGCUAUUGAGAGGAAGAGAGCAGUGGCUGCAUUUCUCAUAGCAACAUGCCUGUGGGGGGCCAGACUAUGGACACAGUGGCUGACUCAAUCCAUGCCUUUCAGGAGUGUGCAGUGUGCUUAACAGUCAACUAUAUCAUCUCUCCUUGGACAAGUAAAAAGUCAUCUUGAUUCCUUCAGCCCCCAAUGGUAACCUUCAGUUCACAAUCCACAGACUUUUUCUAAAUAUGAGGUGAAAGCUGCUGAAUGCCCUCAACCCUCAUUAACCAAGGGUCAAGCCCAUGAGUGUUACCGAUAUUAGACACAAAACAUAAUUCUACAUUGACUAUAUUCCUUGGCGGUCAUGCAACCCUGAGGCUGUAGCAGCGCCUGCAACUCCUCCACACCAGUUCCCCAUCAAGCAAUGGCCAGGCCAGUGGAACUACAUCCUGGAUCAACUAUCCCUUGGUGACAGAAUAUAAAGUACAUCAUGGAAUUGUGGAGUAAGGAGAGGGGAAGAGGCAAGGUUUCCUCUUACUGGAGAAAGCUAAAUACUCCUCUGACAUUGUUACUGAACAGUUUGUAAGAAAAUUGAUCUAAUAGAGGUACCAGCUUUGCAAAGUAGUUAGGAAAAUUUGCCAGCCCUGGUACAAAACCUGCUGACUCGCCCUUACCUACAGUGACUGGUGAUAAUGAAAAAAUAAGGCCGUGUCAGGUACCCAUGACAAAGGGAGCCCUGGGAAAUAACUCACAGGCCACACUCACAUAUGCAUGAGAGGGCAGAGAAAAAAGGUGUCGUGCAUGUCACUGAUGCCCUGCAAGGGAGCAAUGCCUAUUUAUAACAGUUAAGGGUCUGGCACCAUGUUUUAAGGCACAUCAGUGCUGAUCAACAUGAACACAACUGAGAAUCACCAAUCAAAUAUCAUGCCAUGUGUUUUGCUUCAUGCUGUAUUUGUACUAUUCUAGUUUUACAUGUAUUUUUCUGUUUAGAUUAACAACAAAUAAAACAGUGACUUGUUUUUUGCAUCUCCUUUAGCAGUAUGUUUUAACUGGCCCUGGGGAUCAUGUCCCCAGGUAUCUUUUUAUUUUGUAGUCAUGGAGCAAUAAGCCACACCCUCAGCAGAUGUAAAUCAGCAUUGAUCCUUGGAUGUUACCAAAGCUAAGCCAAUUUACACUAGUUGAAGAUCUGGCCCAUUGUUUUGUACAAUAAAAACUGUUGGUACAGUAGUAAUAAAGACAGGUAAUAGAACAAACUAGCAACUGGGCUGAGCUACUAAGUUUGACUCUGCAUCUGAACUUUCCUAGUAUCCAGGGGAG